CAGUCGAGCGGAACGAGUUAUCUGAACCUUCGGGGGACGAUAACGGCGUCGAGCGGCGGACGGGUGAGUAAUGCCUAGGAAAUUGCCCUGAUGUGGGGGAUAACCAUUGGAAACGAUGGCUAAUACCGCAUGAUGCCUACGGGCCAAAGAGGGGGACCUUCGGGCCUCUCGCGUCAGGAUAUGCCUAGGUGGGAUUAGCUAGUUGGUGAGGUAAGGGCUCACCAAGGCGACGAUCCCUAGCUGGUCUGAGAGGAUGAUCAGCCACACUGGAACUGAGACACGGUCCAGACUCCUACGGGAGGCAGCAGUGGGGAAUAUUGCACAAUGGGCGCAAGCCUGAUGCAGCCAUGCCGCGUGUGUGAAGAAGGCCUUCGGGUUGUAAAGCACUUUCAGUCGUGAGGAAGGUAGUGUAGUUAAUAGCUGCAUUAUUUGACGUUAGCGACAGAAGAAGCACCGGCUAACUCCGUGCCAGCAGCCGCGGUAAUACGGAGGGUGCGAGCGUUAAUCGGAAUUACUGGGCGUAAAGCGCAUGCAGGUGGUUUGUUAAGUCAGAUGUGAAAGCCCGGGGCUCAACCUCGGAAUAGCAUUUGAAACUGGCAGACUAGAGUACUGUAGAGGGGGGUAGAAUUUCAGGUGUAGCGGUGAAAUGCGUAGAGAUCUGAAGGAAUACCGGUGGCGAAGGCGGCCCCCUGGACAGAUACUGACACUCAGAUGCGAAAGCGUGGGGAGCAAACAGGAUUAGAUACCCUGGUAGUCCACGCCGUAAACGAUGUCUACUUGGAGGUUGUGGCCUUGAGCCGUGGCUUUCGGAGCUAACGCGUUAAGUAGACCGCCUGGGGAGUACGGUCGCAAGAUUAAAACUCAAAUGAAUUUGACGGGGGCCCGCACAAGCGGUGGAGCAUGUGGGUUUAAUUCGAUGCAACGCGAAGAACCUUACC
Molecule: ribosomal RNA, 938 nt
Filed under: Vibrio sp.
Lineage: Bacteria; Pseudomonadati; Pseudomonadota; Gammaproteobacteria; Vibrionales; Vibrionaceae
Description: bacterial SSU rRNA
Rfam family: Bacterial small subunit ribosomal RNA
Source: RNAcentral